RNAcentral lists this ribosomal RNA (787 nucleotides) under Micrococcus luteus. Its description in RNAcentral is "bacterial SSU rRNA". It matches the Rfam family "Bacterial small subunit ribosomal RNA", at positions 1 to 802 of the family's 1533-position model. Lineage: Bacteria; Bacillati; Actinomycetota; Actinomycetes; Micrococcales; Micrococcaceae. The record is from RNAcentral.
UUACGGAGAGUUUGAUCCUGGCUCAGGAUGAACGCUGGCGGCGUGCUUAACACAUGCAAGUCGAACGAUGAAGCCCAGCUUGCUGGGUGGAUUAGUGGCGAACGGGUGAGUAACACGUGAGUAACCUGCCCUUAACUCUGGGAUAAGCCUGGGAAACUGGGUCUAAUACCGGAUAGGAGCGUCCACCGCAUGGUGGGUGUUGGAAAGAUUUAUCGGUUUUGGAUGGACUCGCGGCCUAUCAGCUUGUUGGUGAGGUAAUGGCUCACCAAGGCGACGACGGGUAGCCGGCCUGAGAGGGUGACCGGCCACACUGGGACUGAGACACGGCCCAGACUCCUACGGGAGGCAGCAGUGGGGAAUAUUGCACAAUGGGCGAAAGCCUGAUGCAGCGACGCCGCGUGAGGGAUGACGGCCUUCGGGUUGUAAACCUCUUUCAGUAGGGAAGAAGCGAAAGUGACGGUACCUGCAGAAGAAGCACCGGCUAACUACGUGCCAGCAGCCGCGGUAAUACGUAGGGUGCGAGCGUUAUCCGGAAUUAUUGGGCGUAAAGAGCUCGUAGGCGGUUUGUCGCGUCUGUCGUGAAAGUCCGGGGCUUAACCCCGGAUCUGCGGUGGGUACGGGCAGACUAGAGUGCAGUAGGGGAGACUGGAAUUCCUGGUGUAGCGGUGGAAUGCGCAGAUAUCAGGAGGAACACCGAUGGCGAAGGCAGGUCUCUGGGCUGUAACUGACGCUGAGGAGCGAAAGCAUGGGGGGCGAACAGGAUUAGAUACCCUGGUAGUCCGUGCCG